AGGCGGGGACGACCCCGCUGCUUCAAUCGCAUCCGGGGACGGCCCCA
This 47-nucleotide non-coding RNA is filed under the name Lysobacter capsici. Its description in RNAcentral is "Guanidine-II sequence". It matches the Rfam family "Guanidine-II riboswitch aptamer (mini-ykkC)". Rfam says of the family: Simpler in structure and has fewer highly conserved nucleotide positions than the ykkC-yxkD leader. Despite this each of its two stem-loop structures directly bind free guanidine. Therefore, mini-ykkC RNA motif represents a distinct class of guanidine-sensing RNAs. The record is from RNAcentral. Lineage: Bacteria; Pseudomonadati; Pseudomonadota; Gammaproteobacteria; Lysobacterales; Lysobacteraceae.